UGCCAGCCGCCGCGGUAAUACGGAGGGUGCGAGCGUUAAUCGGAAUCACUGGGCGUAAAGCGUGCGUAGGCGGCGCAGUAAGUCAGACGUGAAAGCCCUCGGCUCAACCGAGGAAUUGCGUUUGAAACUGGUAUGCUAGAGUCUCGGAGAGGUUGGCGGAAUUCCAGGUGUAGGAGUGAAAUCCGUAGAUAUCUGGAGGAACACCGGUGGCGAAGGCGACUUCCUGGACUAUUACUGACACUGAGGAGCGAAAGCGUGGGGAGCAAACAGGAUUAGAUA
Molecule: ribosomal RNA, 279 nt
Filed under: uncultured bacterium
Lineage: Bacteria
Description: partial 16S ribosomal RNA
Rfam family: Bacterial small subunit ribosomal RNA
Source: RNAcentral